AUACGGAGGGUGCAAGCGUUGUUCGGAAUUACUGGGCGUAAAGCGCGUGUAGGCGGCCAGGUAAGUCGGAUGUGAAAUCCCGGGGCCCGACCCCGGAACUGCACCCGAUACUGCCUGGCUGGAGUCCCGGAGAGGAUGGCGGAAUUUCCGGUGUAGAGGUGAAAUUCGUAGAUAUCGGAAGGAACACCAGUGGCGAAGGCGGCCAUCUGGACGGUGACUGACGCUGAGACCCGAAAGCGUGGGGAGCAAACAGGAUUAGAAACCCCAGUAGUCC
RNAcentral lists this ribosomal RNA (274 nucleotides) under uncultured bacterium. RNAcentral describes it as "partial 16S ribosomal RNA". It matches the Rfam family "Bacterial small subunit ribosomal RNA", at positions 523 to 796 of the family's 1533-position model. The record is from RNAcentral.